This 575-nucleotide ribosomal RNA is filed under the name Helicotylenchus dihystera. Its description in RNAcentral is "eukaryotic LSU rRNA". The stretch from base 400 to 575 matches the Rfam family "Eukaryotic large subunit ribosomal RNA", at positions 665 to 813 of the family's 3401-position model. The record is from RNAcentral. Lineage: Eukaryota; Metazoa; Nematoda; Chromadorea; Rhabditida; Hoplolaimidae.
CCGAUGAGGUGGAAACGGACAGAGCUGGCGUAUCUGGCCUGCAUUCAGCCGCUGCGCGUCGGGCCCCGGUUUGCCACACUCCAGAUUGGGAAGGUGGCUGGGCUGCUGGCGUGCUGGUGGUGCAUUUGCAGGUGGAGUGCGCCGAGGCGCUCGGUUCAGCGGCAUGAGCUCGGCUUUGAGGCCAGUCGCGCAAGCGGUCUGGUACCCGGGUCGGGGGAGUGUUGUUUGGGCUGGGUGUUCGCUGGGGCACAGGUUUCGGGCCCGGGUGGGUGCCGAGCUGGCGGUCGGCGGCGGUCGCGUGCGACACGUGCCAGCAGUCAGUUCGGUCCUGCUCGAGCUCUCUCGUGUCCGGCCUCGGUGUAAAAGCCGGUCAUCUGUCCGACCCGUCUUGAAACACGGACCAAGGAGUUUAGCGUGUGCGCGAGUCAUUGGGUGUUGAAAACCCAGAGGCGUAAUGAAAGUGAAGGUCUGCCUUGUGCAGCUGAUGUGUGAUCCUGGGCGCCGCGGCGCCCGGGCGCAACAUAGUCCCGUCCUGACUGCAUGCAGUGGGGCGGAGACAGAGCGUACGCGCUGAG